This 424-nucleotide ribosomal RNA is filed under the name uncultured prokaryote. RNAcentral describes it as "bacterial SSU rRNA". It matches the Rfam family "Bacterial small subunit ribosomal RNA", at positions 355 to 796 of the family's 1533-position model. The record is from RNAcentral.
UAGGGAAUAUUGGUCAAUGGGCGGAAGCCUGAACCAGCCAUGCCGCGUGCAGGACGACGGCCUUCGGGUUGUAAACUGCUUUUCGGCGGGACGAUGAUGACGGUACCGCCGGAAGACGCCCCGGCUAACUCCGUGCCAGCAGCGGCGGUAUGACGGAGGGGGCAAGCGUUGUCCGGACUCACUGGGCGUAAAGGGCGCGCAGGCGGGACGGCGCGUCGGCGCUGAAAGCGCCCGGCUUAACCGGGCGCGGCGCGGCGAUACGACCGACCUGGAGGCAGGCAGAGGGUGGCGGAAUUCCGGGUGUAGUGGUGAAAUGCGUAGAGAUCCGGAGGAACGCCUGUGGCGCAAGCGGCCGCCUGGGCCUGACCUGACGCUGAGGCGCGAAAGCGUGGGGAGCGAACCGGAUUAGAUACCCGCGUAGUCC